CCUACGGGAGGCAGCAGUAGGGAAUCUUCCACAAUGGACGAAAGUCUGAUGGAGCAACGCCGCGUGAGUGAUGAAGGUUUUCGGAUCGUAAAACUCUGUUGUAAGGGAAGAACAAGUACGAGAGGAAAUGCUCGUACCUUGACGGUACCUUGCGAGAAAGCCACGGCUAACUACGUGCCAGCAGCCGCGGUAAUACGUAGGUGGCAAGCGUUGUUCGGAAUUAUUGGGCGUAAAGCGCGCGCAGGCGGCCUUUUAAGUCUGAUGUGAAAGCCCCCGGCUCAACCGGGGAGGGUCAUUGGAAACUGGAAGGCUUGAGUACAGAAGAGAAGAGUGGAAUUCCAUGUGUAGCGGUGAGAUGCGUAGAGAUGUGGAGGAACACCAGUGGCGAAGGCGACUCUUUGGUCUGUAACUGACGCUGGGGCGCGAAAGCGUGGGGAGCAAACAGGAUUAGAUACCCUGGUAGUCCACGCCGUAAACGAUGAGUGCGUAGGUGGUUGGGGGUUUCCGGGUCCCGUCCUGUGUCGUGAGACGUACGACAUAAGUACGACCGUCCGCCGUCGGGGUAGGGUACCGGGCCGGCCGACGGCGUUGAACGUACGAAAGUUAGUAAGUUAGACGGCGNGAGACGNGCCGACGGACGACGACGAGGGAGGAGG
RNAcentral lists this ribosomal RNA (656 nucleotides) under uncultured bacterium. RNAcentral describes it as "bacterial SSU rRNA". The stretch from base 1 to 556 matches the Rfam family "Bacterial small subunit ribosomal RNA", at positions 338 to 873 of the family's 1533-position model. The record is from RNAcentral.